ACAUGUCUUUAGUCAAUUUAGUAUAAGGUUUAGCCUGCCCACUGAGAAUAUUGAAGGGCCGCGGUAAUUUGACCGUGCGAAGGUAGCAUAAUCAUUAGCCACUUAAUUAGUGGAUGGGAUGAAGGGCUGGAUGAAGGAUGAACUGUCUUUUUAAUAAGAGAUUAAAUUUUACUUUUAAGUGAAAAGGCUUUAAUAAUAUAAAGUGAAGAUAAGACCCUAUAAAACUUUAUAUAGAUACAAUCUUGUUUGUCAUAUUUUGUAAAAGACAGUAAGAUCGGACUAUAUUUUGUUGGGGCGACAGGAAUAGAUAAAGUAUCUGUUUUUAUAAUAAGUUAGUGAUGGUUAAUUAAUGAUCCUUUAGUAGAGAUUAAAAGAUUAAGUUACUUUAGGGAUAACAGCGUAAUUUUCUUUGAGAGUUCUUAUCGACAAGAGUAGUUGCGACCUCGAUGUUGAAUUAAAAUUAUUCUAAUAAAUGCAGCAGCUUAUCUA
This 489-nucleotide ribosomal RNA is filed under the name Palaemonella aliska. Its description in RNAcentral is "partial large subunit ribosomal RNA". It matches the Rfam family "Archaeal large subunit ribosomal RNA", at positions 1918 to 2637 of the family's 2987-position model. The record is from RNAcentral. Lineage: Eukaryota; Metazoa; Arthropoda; Malacostraca; Decapoda; Palaemonidae.